UUAAUUUAAAAGAAAGUAGUUAAAUUCUACUAUUAAGGG
RNAcentral lists this transfer RNA (39 nucleotides) under Diadema setosum. RNAcentral's name for it is "partial tRNA-Lys". The record is from RNAcentral. Lineage: Eukaryota; Metazoa; Echinodermata; Echinoidea; Diadematoida; Diadematidae.